UACGUAGGGGGCUAGCGUUGCCCGGAAUCAUUGGGCGUAAAGAGCGUGUAGGCGGUCCGGUAAGUCCGCUGUGAAAGUCGGGGGCUCAACCCUCGAAUGCCGGUGGAUACUGUCGGGCUAGAGUGCGGAAGAGGCGAGUGGAAUUCCUGGUGUAGCGGUGGAAUGCGCAGAUAUCAGGAGGAACACCAAUAGCGAAGGCAGCUCGCUGGGACGUUACUGACACUGAGGCGCGAAAGCGUGGGGAGCGAACAGG
Molecule: ribosomal RNA, 253 nt
Filed under: uncultured bacterium
Lineage: Bacteria
Description: partial 16S ribosomal RNA
Rfam family: Bacterial small subunit ribosomal RNA
Source: RNAcentral